GGAGGUAUAGCUCAAGUGGUAGAGCACAUGCUUAGCAUGCAGAAGGUCCUGGGUUCAAUCCCCAGUACCUCCU
This 73-nucleotide transfer RNA is filed under the name Camelus bactrianus (Bactrian camel). It matches the Rfam family "tRNA". From Rfam's summary of the family: Transfer RNA (tRNA) molecules are approximately 80 nucleotides in length. Their secondary structure includes four short double-helical elements and three loops (D, anti-codon, and T loops). The record is from Rfam by way of RNAcentral. RNAcentral also lists the same sequence under 1 other name. Lineage: Eukaryota; Metazoa; Chordata; Mammalia; Artiodactyla; Camelidae.